Molecule: long non-coding RNA, 243 nt
Filed under: Panax ginseng (ginseng)
Lineage: Eukaryota; Viridiplantae; Streptophyta; Magnoliopsida; Apiales; Araliaceae
Description: long non-coding RNA (PGIN_LNC003001)
Source: RNAcentral
UGGAUCACUAAAACCCUAGAGUAACAUUUAUCCAUUGCAGUCCUCCAACUCAGCACCCAUUGGAUCACUAAAACCGACUUUCAUCCCUGUUUGAGGAGUGGGUCUUGUGGUCAAGCUCCCUUGCAAGUUUAUUUAUGAGUGGGUCUUGUAGUCAAGCUCCCCUACUAGUUUAUUCUCUAAGUAUAUAAAAAAGUUGCAUAUAAAAUCCAAUCAUAAUAAAGACAAAAACUUAAAGCUGAAUAC